UGUAAAAGAUCUUUAUUGUACGUACAUUAAAAUCACAAUAUAUUUAAAUGUUUCCGAUAUAUUCUAUUAUAUUUUUAUUGUUCGCUUAUGUUUAGUAUUGCUCAUCCAAAAACUAAACAAUUUUUAAAAGUAUUCGGUUUGGAUGAUCUGGAAAUCCGUCUAAUGUUAUUGAAUUAAUAUAAUUUUGGAAUAUUUCAUGGAUUUAUUAUAUUGAUGAAAUAACAAUUGAAAACAAUAAAAUUACAAUAGCUUUGUUUGUUAAAUAAAUAAAAAUGUUAUACCGGUUCUCAAGUAUAUAUUUUCAUAUUGCAGGUCUUGUUGCAGGUCUAGAAAUGUUCUGCAAUAAAAAUUUGAUUUCAAAAAAAUUAAAGGGAACAAAAACUUUUGCUUUUAAUUUACUCGGAGAAUGGCUGGAUUCAUUUGACCGUGUACAGUUUUGUUUAUAAUUAGUGAAGAGAUGAAAAUAAUGAAACUGUAUGGUGCAAAAAGUGUUUUUUUCAUUGCAGUUUCUGCUGCUGGGAAAGCGGUAGAUCACUAUGGCUUCUGUACCGUGAACAUUAAGCAUGCUGCGGAAAACCGUUCGUUUCGCCAUAUUGAUCAGCAGCUGUAAGAUACCACGAAGGAAACCAACAAUAAUACUUGAUUUGACGGGUCUGGAGCCGAGUCUGGAGCAUCCCCAGAAGCAGGUUAGAGAAGGUUAGCAGGCCAUUGGAGGAACAAUCCACAGCGGAGCUAUCGAUAAAUCGCUUGGGGAACGUGGACAUUUGCGUGAUUCGGACUAAAAAUUGAAAGCAAAGGCUGCUAUUUCCGAGGCUAUUCGUUUUCGUACCGAGGGCUGAUUUUCUUUGCUACUAUGCGAUGCCAAAGAAGCUUCCACACCGAUGAUCUUGAUUCAACGAUCUUUGCACCUGUGGUGACGGAACGGGGCUUUCACAGUACUUCCAGCAUCCUUACUGCUCUCACAAGUUUCGGGAUUAUAUACCGUCAAAUCUCUACACGGCUACUGCGGAGCAGCCUAGCAGGUGACCCGGUACCUGCUGCGGUUAACGCUUACUGACCCGAAGCUGCUCCUGAUCAUCCAGCCAGUUCCGGUUUCGUCGAUCGCGUAAUUUUAAUCUUUCGGUAAUCAGUUUCGCUAAUUGCCCAACAUCCAACAACGAAUAGGUUGAUAAAGACUGUAUAUUGUAAAUAUAUUUAUAUAGUAGAAUUAAAUUAAGAAGGCAUGCCAAAAAGCUGCCAGCUGUUGACGAAUAUAAAAAAAAGGAUAAUAAUGUGCACUAUAGGCUUAUUUGUUUUGUUUUUUUUUUUGCGAAAUAUUGAUUUGUUUAUAUAUUUGCCCGGUAUGGUACAUAAUCAAAAGAGCGAGAUGCAUCACUCCAGCAUGCUGAUGAUCUCAGUAACGGAGAUUAAACCGGGUGCGACUGCGACUGUCUCCAACAGAACAAAAAGCUCUCGUCAAAGCUGUCCAUAUGCAUGUGUACAAGAGCCAAGAAUAGCAUUAUCCAUUCUUUUAGGUAAUCAUUUACAGUAUAAUAAAAAUAAUACCUAAUCUAUUUUUUCGCAACAUUUGUUACAUAGUUAGAAAUCAUGAUAUUCAUUUGAUUGUAAUUCAGAUUAAAUUGAUUUGGUUUUAUUGAG
This is a long non-coding RNA of Armigeres subalbatus, 1638 nucleotides long. RefSeq lists it as uncharacterized. The transcript is spliced from 3 exons. The record is from RefSeq and is a predicted model, not a curated record. Lineage: Eukaryota; Metazoa; Arthropoda; Insecta; Diptera; Culicidae.